This 154-nucleotide small RNA is filed under the name Caloramator australicus. Its description in RNAcentral is "Manganese sequence". It matches the Rfam family "Manganese Mn2+ riboswitch aptamer (yybP-ykoY)". Rfam says of the family: This RNA was originally discovered in E. coli during a large scale screen and was named SraF. The family was later found to exist upstream of related families of protein genes in many bacteria, including the the yybP and ykoK genes in B. subtilis. The specific functions of these proteins are unknown, but this structured RNA element may be involved in their genetic regulation as a riboswitch. Lineage: Bacteria; Bacillati; Bacillota; Clostridia; Eubacteriales; Clostridiaceae. The record is from RNAcentral. RNAcentral also lists the same sequence under 1 other name.
AUCUAUGUUAAAGGGGAGUAGCUGCCCGAAAGGGUUGAUAAAGUCAACAUACUGGCCUUUGGCCUGGCUUUAUCGGCGUAAUGCAAGCGAGACCUUUAACACAAUGCUCUGGCAUUGUGUUAAAGGUCUUUUUUAUUUUGUAAAAAAUAAUGAC